CUCCCUUAUUUUUAAAGGUACUCUCUGCUCUAUGAAAAAUUUUUUAAAUAGCCGCAGUACUCUGACUGUGCUAAGGUAGCAUAAUAAUCUGUCUCUUAAUUAGAUUCCUGUAUAAAUGAGAUAACGACACUUUUACUUUUCUGAAAAUUUUAAUAAAAAUUAAUAUUUGUUUUAAAAAAAACAACUUCUCAAGUAGACGAUAAGACCCCGUGAAACUUUAUUUUUAGCUUAUUUUAAAGUUCAGGAUAUAUAAAUAUAAAAAAAAAUUAAGCUGGGGCGGUGUUAAAAAGACUUUUAUAGAGAAAACAAUUUAAAAUUUUUGAUUUAAUAGAUCUUGUAAAUAAAAGAUAAAAUAAGUUACUCUGGGGAUAACAGCACAAUUUUUUUGAAUAGAUCAGAUAGAUAAAAAGGACUUGUGACCUCGAUGUUGAAUUGAAGAGCCGGGAUUGUGUAGAAAAAAUCUUCGGGGGUCUGUUCGACCUUUGAUCCUUC
This 492-nucleotide ribosomal RNA is filed under the name Disparella sp. BOLD:ADL2577. RNAcentral describes it as "partial 16S ribosomal RNA". It matches the Rfam family "Archaeal large subunit ribosomal RNA", at positions 1893 to 2666 of the family's 2987-position model. Lineage: Eukaryota; Metazoa; Arthropoda; Malacostraca; Isopoda; Desmosomatidae. The record is from RNAcentral.